ACUGUGAAGCAUGCACGCCAGUGUGUGUGGAGUCGUCGUUGAAAUACCAGUCUGGUCGUGCUGGAUGUCUAACCUGGGUCCGUGAUCCGGAUCAGGGACAGUGUCUGAUGGGUAGUUUAACUGGGGCGGUUGCCUCCUAAAGAGUAACGGAGGCGCCCAAAGGUUCCCUCAGCCUGGUUGGCAAUCAGGUGUUGAGUGUAAGUGCACAAGGGAGCUUGACUGUGAGACCGACGGGUCGAGCAGGGACGAAAGUCGGGACUAGUGAUCCGGCGGUGGCUUGUGGAAGCGCCGUCGCUCAACGGAUAAAAGGUACCCCGGGGAUAACAGGCUGAUCUUCCCCAAGAGUCCAUAUCGACGGGAUGGUUUGGCACCUCGAUGUCGGCUCGUCGCAUCCUGGGGCUGGAGUCGGUCCCAAGGGUUGGGCUGUUCGCCCAUUAAAGCGGUACGCGAGCUGGGUUUAGAACGUCGUGAGACAGUUCGGUCCCUAUCCGCUGUGCGCGUAGGAGUCUUGAGAAGGGCUGUCCCUAGUACGAGAGGACCGGGACGGACGAACCUCUGGUGUGCCAGUUGUUCUGCCAAGGGCAUGGCUGGUUGGCUACGUUCGGGAGGGAUAACCGCUGAAAGCAUCUAAGCGGGAAGCCUGCUUCGAGAUGAGGACUCCCACCCACUUGAUGGGGUAAGGCUCCCAGUAGACGACUGGGUUGAUAGGCCGGAUCUGGAAGCACGGUAACGUGUGGAGGUGACCGGUACUAAUAGGCCGAGGGCUUGUCCUC
This 773-nucleotide ribosomal RNA is filed under the name Streptomyces sp. e14. Its description in RNAcentral is "bacterial LSU rRNA". It matches the Rfam family "Bacterial large subunit ribosomal RNA", at positions 2154 to 2925 of the family's 2925-position model. Lineage: Bacteria; Bacillati; Actinomycetota; Actinomycetes; Kitasatosporales; Streptomycetaceae. The record is from RNAcentral.